Molecule: long non-coding RNA, 6972 nt
Filed under: Brassica napus (rape)
Lineage: Eukaryota; Viridiplantae; Streptophyta; Magnoliopsida; Brassicales; Brassicaceae
Description: long non-coding RNA (BNAP_LNC016137)
Source: RNAcentral
UUUUCUUCUUCUUCUUCAUCUCUCUUCAAUGAUUCCACUCUCUGAAUUUCACUCAACUCGUUCCCAUGGCUGCAAAACGUGUCCACGGAGACUACCCUUCGUCCACCGAUCUCUCCACUGUUAAACGCCACAAGGACCUCGACUUCCCCGAAGACACCACCACCGCACUCGAGGACGACGGCGCCGCCGCGAUCAACCUCCUCAGCCUACUCCUACAAUGCGCCGAAUACGUCGCCACGGACCACCUCCGCGAAGCUUCCAUCCUCUUGUCGGAAAUCUCCGAGACAUGCUCCCCGUUCGGUUCCUCCCCGGAGCGAGUCGUCGCCUACUUCGCGCAGGCGCUUCAGGCGCGCGUCAUCAGCACCUACCUCUCCGGCGCGUGCUCGUGCUCUCAACUCUCGGAGAGUCCAAUCCCGUCGCAGAAGAUCUUCGCCGCCUUACAGACGUUCAACUCCCUGAGCCCUCUCAUCAAAUUCUCACACUUCACUGCCAAUCAAGCGAUCUUCCAGGCCCUGGACGGCGAGGACUCCGUCCAUAUCAUCGACCUCGACGUCAUGCAAGGCCUUCAAUGGCCCGGACUCUUCCACAUCCUCGCUUCACGUCCUCGAAAGCUCCGAUCCAUUCGGAUCACCGGGUUCGGGCCAUCCUCCGAUGUCCUCGCCUCCACCGGCCGGAGACUCGCCGAUUUCGCGGCCUCCUUGUCCCUCCCCUUCGAGUUUCGUCCCAUCGUUGGCAAAAUCGGAAACGUAACCGAUCCGAGUCGACUCGGGAGGAGACCCGGCGAGGCUGUGGUGGUUCACUGGAUGCAGCACCGGCUAUACGACGUCACCGGGAACGGUAUCGACGCGCUGGAGAUUGUACGGAGGCUGAGGCCGAAUCUGAUAACGAUGGUUGAGCAGGAGCUGAGCUACGACGACGGAGGAGGAGGCUGCUUUCUUGGGAGGUUCGUGGAGGCGCUGCAUUAUUACAGCGCGUUGUUCGACGCGCUUGGGGACGGAUUGGGGGAGGAGAGUGGGGAGAGAUUCACGGUGGAGCAGAUCGUGCUUGCGACUAUCAAUAAUUGGAUUUAAACAAUAGAUGAUUCAUUGGAUUUAUAGAUAGUAUAAAUUAAAUAGAUAUAAUUUAUUGUUGUAAUACUAUACCUCCAUAUGUUAAUUAUUUAAAUAUUUGUCGAUGUUAAAUUUUAAAAUUAUGAAGAUUUUUUUUGAAUAACAAAAAUCAUACUCCAUCUGUUCCCAAAAAUAAGAUUUUCUAGAGUAUACAUGUUUAUUAAGAAUUUAAUAAAUGUUUAUAGUUUAAUUUAUUUUUUAUUUUAUUAUACACUUUCUAAUAACUUUCAACCAAUAAAAUUUAAUCAAUUCAAAUAUUCUCAAUUAUUGUUCCUCAGAAGUAUAAAAAAGUACCUUAACAAUAUAAAAAAUAUAUCUUUGUGGAACAAGAAAAAAAUCUAAAAAAUCUUACUUUUGGGAACGAAUAUAGUAUUAUCUAACAAUGAUUAGUCUUUACUAUCUUAAACCAAUAAAAACAAAUUUCAACCUAUAUAGUUUAUUUUAAAAAUUAAACAAAAACUAAAUGUUUAAUAAUUUACUCGAUAAUAUAAAUCUAUGAAGCGAAAAGUUUAAUUUUUUAAAAACUUUAUAAAUUUGUGAAAUGUUACAAUAUCUUUGAAUAUGACAAUCUUAUAUAUUAAAACAGAAGUCACAACCUUGAUUCAUGUGUGAUUUUUUUUAAAAUGUACCUAAUGGACCUAUUCCUAGAAAGUCAUGUUACAUUUAAUAUCUAAUCUUAUCAUUUAAAUUUUGGGCAUACCAAAAAUUUUUAUUGAGCUAUCAAUAAUUAGAUUUAAAGAAUAGAUGAUCCAUUGGAUUUAUAGAUAGUAUAAAUUAAAUAGAUAUAAUUUAAUGUUGUAAUACUAUACCUCUAUAUGUUAAAUAUUUAAAUAUUUUUCGAAAUUAACUUUGAAAAUUAUAAAGAUUUUUUUUUUAAUAACAAAAAUCAUAUUAUCUAAAAAUGAUUAAUAUUUACUACCUUAAACCAAUGAAACAAAUUUUAAACUAUAUAUUUUAUUUUAAAAAUUAAACAAAAACUAAAUGUUUAAUUACUCGAUAAUAUAAAUCUAUGAAGCGAAAAGUUUAAUUUUUUAAAAACUUUAUAAAUUUGUGAAAUGUUACAAUAUCUUUGAAUAUGACAAUAAAACAAUAUUUUACUAAUCUGUAUAUAUAUAGUUACGAUUUUAAUAAUAAAAUAAUUAUCCGAAAAUAUAUUUAUAGAAAAAAAUACAAAUACAUGUGAAAUUUUGAAACAAUCUAUUCAAUGAAAAAAAAUGUACAGUAAACUUAUUAUGUUUUAAAAAUUGAUAGACACAUAUAUAUUAUAAUAUAUAUCAAUUCAGAAUUAAAAACAAAAUAUUUAUAUAAAAAUAAAUAAAAACAAAAAUCUGCGCGGUUGCGCGGGUCGAGUUCUAGUAUAUACAGUAUUUUAGGUGUGAACACACUGGUAAGAAUUAAAUGACUCCAAAAUAUAAAUAACCAACAUUAAGGAGGAAAAAAAAACAUUAAGGAGGGAAGAUAUUUUUUUGUUAUACUUUUCUGUGUUGUUAAUGUAUCAUAUAUGUUCGACAUGAUAUAUUUGCAUUUGAAAUAUUUUGAUUUUCUUCAUUUAAUUCGUUGAUUGGGAUGUGGUUGCUAUUAUUAGAGAAGCUAAGAUUGGUAGUGUUUCACCAAGCUUUUCGGUUCUUCUUUGUUUUUGUCUUCACUCGGACCCCAUAGAAUUACUAUUUUUACCAAAAUUUCAAAUCGGUAUAAUUUUUCUUGUAGCGACUUCAUAAAAAGUAUCAAAUAAAUUGUGACAUAUUUCUGGAACUACAUUGUACGUCUGUAGUUUCCCUAAAAGACCAGGGGUGAAUGUUUUUAAAUUAAGUUUUCUGUAUAUAGAAAAGAAAAUGAAUAUCAAAAAGCAAAAGCAAAAACAAAAACAAAAACCAUACAUAAUAAUGUUAGGUGAAUUGUUUUGGAAUAUAUUACCAGUAGAUGCUUGUUACAACCUCAAAUUACUUUCAUGUGAUAAUAAAAUAUAUGUGUCGGCAAAAAUGGUAAAAGUGUCAUAAGGUUUAUGUUUUUAUUAUGUAAAUUAUCGGGCACAGUUUUUUUUUGACAAAAUUAUCGGGCACAGUUUCACGGUAUUAUUUGAUAGUUUGUAUUUGUUUGUUGUGGAGAAAUAUAGUGUUUGUUUUUUCGAGAAAAAAAAAUAGUGUGUUUGAAAAUAACUAGAGUGAAUGUAAAGAUAUGUGACUCAACCGCUGGAGGCAUCAAGUGUUAGGCACUAUAUUUCUUUGAAAAUCGAAUAUGAUUCCACGCUAUCCUUAUGUACUCACAUGCAUGGUUAAAUGACACCCAUCGUCGCAUCUUAAGGCAUAUAACGCAGAAAAGAAGAUAGGUAAAAAAAGAGAUACAGGGAUACCAACUUUCUAAUGGUAUAACCGUUAUAUUAAUUAUGAAAUGAGUGUAAUUGUUACGUAUAUAUAGUAUAUGUGGUCGGUCUUACAAAUGCAUAAUUAAAUAUUGAAUGGUGAAUUCAAUUAGUGUUUACAGAAAAGAAAGUAAAAACAAUACAAAAACAACAGUAUAUUCUUGUUGUGCUGGUUCCGAACUAAUUGAUGCCGCAGCGAAAUGAGCAUAGACCAAAACCAAAUGUGACAUUCUAACCAAAUUUCUUAAGACGAGUUCAAAGUACAUGUAUGUCAUUCGCGGGAUAGUAUGGCUGUGAUUAGUAAUGUAGGUGUUCUAGUUAUUUAAAAACUGUUUUCUUUUAGUAUGACCAAGCAUUAGAAACUUUAUUGAGAAAUACGAUUAAUUGAUUCGGUUUUUCACCUUUGUGAAUGACACGCUUCAUUAAUAGAUACAAAGUUUUUUUUUUAAAUGCAACAAGAAGAGAAUUCAUUCUCUCAUUUGUAUUAAAAGUCAUUUUUUUAAGCAUCGCCUAGAGCAAAAACUAUUCUCCACUCCACUUGUCUUUCUUCUUUUUUUUUUUUCAAGUUCUUUCCACAUUCAUAAAUGUUUGUGCAGCAACGAAAAUACAUACUUAUAAUUAAGAAGAACAAAGUAAUUAUCCAGAACUAACGGAUUAUAAGCCUUGAUAAUAGAUCUGAAAUUUCUACCAUUCAAAAGCUCGGGUUGCUAUUAUAUUCAGAAACGAGAAUAUAUUUGCCAUCCAUUACUUACAUACAUAGGCUGUACACAACGAGUGAAUCUGAUCUUAAUUAGUUCGAAUGUAACUAGCAACCUCAACUUGCAAUUACUAGCUAAUUCAUCCCUCGAGAUUUUGUAGCUCCAAAAAUUCCCAGCAGAAGUAAACCAAAUAAAUGUUUUGUGCAACCAUUCAUGUAGAAUUAUGAGUUUAAAUGGAGUUCAGUGAGUGAUAUAUAAAUAAAAAGAAAUCUAAAUACUAACCUGGAAAUGACUAUAAGGAGGAUCGAAGCGAUGUAACUGAGGGGAAUGAAGCCUGGUCCGACGUCAUCAACCACUUAACUGAUCGUUCAUAUACUAUAUUUAUAUAACCGAUCGUAGAUCUGAGUUAAGGGCCUCGUGCCAGACAACAAUCCCCUCAAAAGAAAAAGCUUCAUAGAUGAACAUGGAGUCCAUAAGAAGAACCCUAGCUACCUUUUACAAGUGAGAUGAUCAGCUUAUAAUUUACAAAGAAUCGUAAAAGUGAAAGAGAAGGAGACAAGAACGCAAUGAUGAAAGGAAGAGGCAGAUAUAUAUUAUUAGGAAAAGAUAUUGUGGAAAUGUAGGUGGUAAAAAUAAUGAAAAGGCAAGAGGAAAAAGAUAGAAAAGAACAAACAUAUUAAAGUCAUAUCUCACCAAUUUGACGACCUUUUUCGUUUUGUUUAAUACAUUAUAUAUAUAGUUACACAUUUUAGGCUUAUAAUGCUUUCACAUGUAUAUGGUACUGGAUAUUAAAAAAAGUCAAAUAUUGGAUUGGUGGAUGAUCAAGAUACUAUCUCUUGGUUGAAUGUAUCUCGGAUCAAAUUAAGUUAAAUAUUGGAUUUUCUUCAGUUUCUGUGACUUAGCAUAAUUUACUAACAAAAACGUUACACUGAAAUGUAUGUUCUAUGUAACACGGAAGGCUAAUAUCAUUUUCAGCAUUAGGACGAUGAUGCUACAAGUCAAAACAGAAAUUGAGAAAGUCAAAAGAUUAGUUGAGAAGUAACUAAUGUAAAAUGAAAAUUAAUAGGAAAAAAACAAAGAAAGAAGAUCGAUAGGUUAAUUAUUAGGACAUGAUUAUGUUGGAUUAGAUGAAGAUGAGAUUACAGAGGAAAAUGUCUUCAUAAUUCUCAUGUACUCCAUGUGACAUUCACACACCUACCUCUCUUUUCCCUUUCUCCCCAACCCACGCAUGCAUUCAUUUUUAUAUGUUUUCAAUAAGAAAAGUCUUGUGACUGCCAUAUGCACAAAAAUUUAAUUGUUACAGGAGAAUAAGUGGUAUGGAAUGGAUGAACUACAAAAAACCCAAAAAAUUCAGUGAAACAAAUACUCCAUUUACAAAGGAAAAGAAGCAGACUUAAAAUGUACUCCCUGUCCCUCCUAGCCCCCUCAAUAAAAGAUAAAAGUUUUUGUGUGUUUAAACAAUAAUAAAUAUAUCAUUUUAUGAUUAGCUAGUUUCAAUAAUUUUAAAUCAGUAGCAAUUCAAUAAAUAUUAUUAAGUUUAUAAAAGAAUUCACUAAUACCAUCCAUUAUCAGCUCUUAAAAAUGUACAAAAUAUAUCAGGACAAGUAAUUUAUGUGAAAAUACAAAAUAGUUGUACACGAAUAGAAAGCUUUCUUUUAAACAAAGACAAUUGACAUUGCAAUCAACUCCAAUGCAAAGCAAGAUCACUUCUUCAUUUGACCAAAAAAAAAAGAAGCAAGAUCACUUCUUCUAUCGGCAAGGAUAAUCUUUUGGGAUGCUGAUUUACGCAGAGUCAAGAUUAGUCAUCUUAGUAAAAUGGGUCUUUUUAUAUCUCUAAUAAGAAGCAUCCACACAAUAGUUAGGCACAAACCAAACCCAUGGAUAGCAGCAGGCUAGCAGCCCCAAGAGGUUAGCCCAUUUGGUAACCUGUGUAACUCAAUCUUUAAUACUAGACUCAUGAGAGCAUAUACCCAGUCCAUCUAGAGAACUCAGAGGGCUAUGCAGAGAUUCUCUUAGCCUAAGCUAAAGGAACAAAAAGGUAUAAUAGAAAUUGGGCUUUUUGUUCGUGGACAAUCUAGUUAUUAGAAAAGGACAAAAGAGAGAGAGAGAGAGAGCAGUGGUUACGUUGUUCACAUAACAGUAGUUUGAUGAUAGCAAAGUGAAUGCUUGCGAAAAAGAUACAAAAGUCUUUUUGUGAAAUCAGAAAAGUGAUCAAAUCCAAAACGACAAUCUUGUCUUGUCUCUGAAAAAUCCUGUCAUUACUCUCUCAAACCCUUUCGCCUUUCGAAUCUCCCUUUUUCUUCUUCUUCUUCAUCUCUCUUCAAUGAUUCCACUCUCUGAAUUUCACUCAACUCGUUCCCAUGGCUGCAAAACGUGUCCACGGAGACUACCCUUCGUCCACCGAUCUCUCCACUGUUAAACGCCACAAGGACCUCGACUUCCCCGAAGACACCACCACCGCACUCGAGGACGACGGCGCCGCCGCGAUCAACCUCCUCAGCCUACUCCUACAAUGCGCCGAAUACGUCGCCACGGACCACCUCCGCGAAGCUUCCAUCCUCUUGUCGGAAAUCUCCGAGACAUGCUCCCCGUUCGGUUCCUCCCCGGAGCGAGUCGUCGCCUACUUCGCGCAGGCGCUUCAGGCGCGCGUCAUCAGCACCUACCUCUCCGGCGCGUGCUCGUGCUCUCAACUCUCGGAGAGUCCAAUCCCGUCGCAGAAGAUCUUCGCCGCCUUACAGACGUUCAACUCCCUGAGCCCUCUCAUCAAAUUCUCACACUUCACUGCCAAUCAAGCGAUCUUCCAGGC